UACAGAGGUGGCAAGCGUUGUUCGGAAUUACUGGGCGUAAAGGGAGCGCAGGCGGCCAGGUCAGUCUGAAGUGCAAGCCCGGGGCUCAACCCCGGAAUUGCUUUGGAUACUACUUGGCUUGAGUACGUCAGAGGUGAGCGGAAUUCCAGGUGUAGCGGUGAAAUGCGUAGAUAUCUGGAGGAACAUCGGUGGCGAAAGCGGCUCACUGGGACGAAACUGACGCUGAGGCUCGAAAGCGUGGGGAGCGAAC
Molecule: ribosomal RNA, 250 nt
Filed under: uncultured bacterium
Lineage: Bacteria
Description: partial 16S ribosomal RNA
Rfam family: Bacterial small subunit ribosomal RNA
Source: RNAcentral